GUCCGCGCCCCAGCAGCUUCCGUGAAGCGACUUCCGUCUCCGCAGAGUGGCCGGCCCCGCGCAGACGCAGAAUCAGACAACUCCGGCGGGGCGGAGUUCCACUGAGAGGGUUCUCUGUCUUCCGGUUUCCCGUCGCGAGCUCUUCUUCCGGGGGAAGGAUGGAGGGAGUGCAGCUGCCGCGGGGUGGGGCCCGCCGACCGGCCAGCUGCUCACCAGUUUUUACACGGGCUGGCCCCAGGCUCCGGGUGCUGUCCAGAGUGGGCUCAGUCCCUGGCUCCUCCCAGAAGUGAUUUUGAAUGUUCUUAACAACGGAAAGGGCACAGACAGUGACAAUCAAGCUCCAGCCCUGACCCAUGGGAAUGGAUGGCAUCGCUGUCCUCCGUGCCAGCUGGGUCCCUAGGCCCAUCCUCCCUGCGCAGUCUCCUGGACCUGCUUCCGCCCGCCGGGAGCCGCCUCAGGCCGGAGGCGUCUCAAUGGCUGUCUGCGCCUCACAGGGUCCGGAGGAAGAGGAACCACCCCGUCUGCCCGUCCAGCGUUUGCUGGGUGCCCGCCGUGUGCCCGAGCGGCUCUGAGUCCAGCAGGGAGGCGGACGCUCGGCGGUAACCGUGGCGGGUCCCCCCGUUGCGGCUGCUGGAAAGUGCUAGGAGCUCCAGGACCAGCUUAACUAGAAGUGAUGAUGGUGUUGAGAGCACGGAUACGAUGGCAACAUCUGUCUUGUUCACGCUCUUCAAGGGAACGCAUCUGAUGCUGCACUGCUAAGGGCACUUGCUGCUGCUCCAGCCACAAAACUUAAGGAGGUAGAGGAAGUUUUUCCCUCCCUUCAAAACGGAACGAGAUAGUGGAGUUGACCGGCCUCCCCCUUCCCCUGGCAUCGAAGCAGUAACACGAGGCGGUGGGAGAGGGGCUGGUUGGCGCUCCGCUUCCCUCUCCCUCCCAGGUUUCUCACCAGAGCUCCUGCCCCCACUGCUCAGCCACAUGCCAGCGUGACUCAGACUUCUUUCCUUCUCCUUGGUGGCGGUGGGGCCCAACGGGGAGCUGAUAUUAUGUCACCACUCGGAAGCAAUGAGCCUGCACAAGGUGGUGCCCCAGGAAGUGGAUGCAGAGGGAGCAGCGCAGCUUCCCCCUGCCCACCUGUGGGGAGUUGGUGGGAGUCACUGUGCCCGUCUGCAGGGCAGCUGUCAGCCUGCGCUGUGGGAAGUGGAGCAUGCAGCCCUUGCACCAUCCCUCAACAGGGGGACUGCCUGCCUGCAAGGAGCGUUGACUAGAAUCCAGAGUCUCAGCAUGUCCCAUGUGUCCAGAUUACAACUGAGAAUCAAGAAACAAGAAAAAUCACAACAGGGAUGAGAAAAAGUGAUCAAUACAGUAGGUGAAUCAGGUGUUGGAUUAUCUGACGUGGAUUUUGGAGUGCCUGUCACAAAAAUGCUUCCACAACUAAUCAAGAAUUCUCUGGAAAAAAAUUUAAAAGGUAGCAAAUCUCAGCAAAGGAAAAGAAGUUAUAAAAAAGAGCCACAUGGAAAUCGUAGAACUGAAAAAUACAAUACAUGAAAUAAAAAAUUCUUACUGGAUGGGCUGAAGAGAAGAGCAGAGAUGACAGAGGACAGAAUCAGAGACCUGGAGGAAAUACCAGAUCUGAACAAUGCUGUCAUCCAACCAGAGCUAAUAGACAUCUAUGCAACUCUCCACCCAAUAGCAGAAUUCACUGUUUUUUUUUCUUUUUUCUUUUUCUUUUUUUUAGCACCCAUGGACCCUUCAUCAAGAUGGACCACAUCUUGGGCCAUAAAACAAACCUCAACAAAUUUAAAACAAUUAAAAUCAUACAGAUUAUGUUUUUGACCAUAAUGGAAUCAAACUAGAAAUCGAUAACAAAGAGGCAAAAAAAAUCUCUAAGCCCUUGGAAAUCAAAAUUAUUCUUCUAAAUAAUACUUAAGUCAAAGAAUAACUCUCAAAGAAAUAAAAAAAAAUAAAGAAGUAAAUUUAAAUGAAAGUACAACAUAUCAAAAUAUGUGGGACAUAGUUAAGGUAAUCCCGAAAGGAAAGUUUUUAGCAUGAAAUGCUUACAUAAGAGAAGAAGAACUGCAAUUUCUCUACUGGGUAUCUACCCAAAGGAAAAGAAGUCAUUAUAUCAAAAAGA
Non-coding RNA from Microcebus murinus (gray mouse lemur), 2131 nucleotides. The record is from RefSeq and is a predicted model, not a curated record. Lineage: Eukaryota; Metazoa; Chordata; Mammalia; Primates; Cheirogaleidae.